AGCCAGUACUCUUAUUCACUGAGCUAUCUCUCCAGCCCCUCUCCUUUCUUUUUAGAUAUGGUCUCAUGUAACACAGGCUGAGGCUGGCCCUCUGAUCCUAUUGCCUCUACCUUCCAAAAGCUGGGAUUAAUGAGUGUCACACCUUGCCCAGUGUGUGUGUCCUCAGGCUUGUUCCCUCUCUAGAUGUACAAGCCAGGCAAAAGUUAUAUUGUGGAGCCACACACCAGCUCUAGAAUGGCUCCUUCUUCCCCUAUAGCCUCUUAUUCCCUUUCUUUCUUUUUCUUCUUUCUUUUCUUUUUUCCUCUCUCUCUCUCUCUCUCUCUCUCUCUCUCUCUCUCUCUCUCUGUCUGUCUCUCUCUCGACAAAGUCUCAGUUUGUAGUCCAGGCUGGCCCAGAACAUCCUAUGUAAUCUGAGAUAACCUAGAAUCUGCAAUCCUCCUCUUGUGUGUCACAAGUGCUUGGUUUACAGGUAUGGGGCACCAUGCCCAGCUAGAGUAUUCUUUUUAAGGGGUGAAACUGAUCACACCUAAAAUCCAUCUACAGUCUUCAUAUCAUUCACAAUAAAAAAAAAGUUCUUGCUACAGUCAAGAGACCCCUUCUCUCUGUCAAUAUCUAGUGCCUGUUUCCUCUCACCUGUCAGGAUGGAGCCACUGCCAAGCCCUGGUUUCAUUCUGGUAGAUUUCAAAGAGAAAGCCAUUAAGAUUUGACAAGGCAGCUAGGUGGUGGCAGCUCAUGCCUUUAAUUCCAGCACUCAGGAGGUAGAGGCAGGCAGAUCUUGGUGUUCAAACCAAGUCUACAGAGUAAGUUCUAGGACAGUCUGGGCUACACAGAGCAACCCUGUCUUGAAGAGCAAAAGCAAACAGAAAGAUUUGCCAAGGGCUUGGAGGUGAAUUGUGAGAGGAGCGAUGAAGUCAAGGAUGUCUGUGGUAGUGCUUAUUGUCUAGACCUCAGUAUCCUCUUGCUUCCAGAGCCACAUCAUGGCAAAGGUGACGGGGAGGCUCUGGUGACGCUGAACAGACCUGGCACUGCUGCUCUGAUCUUGCCACCCUCUGGCACUCUUGACACUCCCUGUUUCAAGUGAGGAAACAUGUCACAAAUGUGAAGUGAGUGACCCAGGCCACAUAGCUGGAAAGUCACCACUCCAGCCCCGAAGAAACAUAUGAGGCCACGGACUGCACCUUCAGCAGAGGCAUUACAGUGCUGACCCUAGAAUCUGACUGCCUGCGUGUAAUCCCGACUCUGCCAAUUACCAACAGCCUCUCUGUGCCCGUGUUUCCUCAUCAGAAAAAGGCAGUGAGUUGUGACAAUGCGUCCACCCUGGCUAGCAUCUCUGUGAAGACUGAAGGAGAGCGUGUGUAUGGUGGACUUGGCAUUGUGCUGCUGUUAUCACUACUGUUCUCUCUGCUCUAGGUCUGAGCUUCUCCCCUGACCAUGGCAGACCUGCCUGGGCUUGUUUCCCAAACUCACAUGGCAGCUUACAAAGUCCAUAACACCAGUUCCACCAUUUUCUUCUGAUCUCUAUGAGCACCAUACAUACUCACAGUGCAUUUCCAUACAUGCAGGUAAAAUUUUCAUACACAUAAAAUAAAAUAAAUUUUAAAAAUCAAGGGGUUGGGGUUGGAGAGAUGGCUCAGUGGAUGAAAGUAUUGGCUGCUCUUCCAGAGGACCUGGGUUUGAUUUCUACCUGGUAUCUCACAAUGGUCUUUAACUCUAGUUCUGCUACCUUCUGCUGGCCUCCACAGACACUGCUGGGAUGUGAUGCACAGACAUUCACAGAGGCCAAACAUCCAUGCACAUAACAAUAAGUGUGUUGAUGGACAUCUGCAGUCCCAGGUGUGUUGAUGGACAUCUUCAAUCCCAAGUGUGUUGAUGAACAUCUGCAGUCCCAGGUGUGUUGAUGGACAUCUGCGAUCCCAGGUGUACUGAUGGACAUCUGUAAUUCCAGGUGUACUGAUGGACAUCUGCAAUCCCAGGUGUAUUGAUGGACAUCUUCAACCCCUAGUGUGUUGAUGGACAUCUGCAGUCCCAGGUGUGUUGAUGGACAUCUGCAAUCCCAGGUGUCCUGAUGGACAUCUGCAAUCCCAGGUGUACUGAUGGACAUCUGUAAUUCCAGGUGUACUGAUGGACAUCUUCAAUCCCAGGUUUACUGAUGGACAUCUUCAAUCCCAGGUGUAUUGACAUCUGCAGUCCCAGGAGUACUGAUAGACAUCUGCAAUCCCAGGUGUACUGAUGGACAUCUGCAGUCCCAGGUGUGCUGAUGGACAUCUGCAGUCCCAGGUGUACUGAUGGACAUCUUCAAUCCUAAGUGUAUUGAUGGACAUCUUCAAUCCCAGGUGUGUUGAUGGACAUCUUUAAUUCCAGGUGUACUGAUGGACAUCUGCAGUCCCAGGAGUAUUGAUGGACAGCAAUCCCAAUGCUGGCAAGACAGACAGGCACAGCUCUGAAGCUCACUGACCAAUAAAUAUAACUGAACCCAUGUCAAUGAGAGACCCUGUCUCAAAAGGUAAUGGAGGGGCCAGAAAGAUGAUUCACCAGUUAAGAGCAUUUGUUACUCUUCCAGAGGACUGGAGUUUGGAUCCCAUCACUCAUACAGAGGCUUACAACCAUUCAUAACUCCAGUUCCAUGGGAUCCAGUGCCCUCUUCUGACCUCCAAGGACACAAAGCAUGCAUGUGGUACACAUACAUACAUGCAAGAAAACCACAGACACAUGUAAAAUAAAAACAAAUAAGUCUUUAAAAUUAAAUAAAUUAGCAGGGGGCUGGGGCUAGAGAGAUGGCUCAGCACUUAAGAGCACUGACUGCUCUUCCAGAGGACCCUGGUUCAAUUCCCAAUGUCCACAUGGCAGCCCACAACUGUCUAUAAUUCCAAGAUCCAACACCCUCACACAGACAUAUAGGCAGGCAAAACACAAAUGCACAUAAAAUAAAAAUAAAUAAUUUUUUAAAAAACUAAAUGAAAUGGAGAGUGACUAAGGAGGAUACUUGGCUUUGACCUUUGACCUCUACAUUCAUGUGUUCAAUGUGUAUCUGAAUUUGUACAUGAAUUCACCCAAGAACACAUGUAUGUGCACACACCACACACAAAGAAAUAAAAUGUAUGUUUAUUAUUCUCCUAGUAAUGUAAAUGCAUUGAUAAAAAUGAGAAGUCCCAGGACAGCACAAAAGGAGACUGUCCCCUGCUGUACCCCACCUCAGACAUAAUGUCUGUUGACAUUUUCCAUGUCAUAGUUAAGCACAAGAUACAGGGAGCUGUAUUCAAAGAAGGGAGAAGGGGGACAUGGACUUUGGUGUUUGUGCCCUUUUCCACUGUUUGUAUUGUAUCAGAAAAAAAAUGUCAAAUAAACCGCAGGGAAAAUAUCAACUAUUGCAACACUCCUCUAUGUGUAGAGAUGUAUCACACAUUCUUUUUCUACAAAAAUAGGGGUCGCUUUGUGCCUAUGAUUUUGAAACCUGAAUUUAUCAUGUCAAGAUAACAAGAUGUCUUGAAUGCUUUUCCAGGAUGCUGCAACUUAUCUUUUUUUUUUUUUAAAGCACAUUGCAAACUAUUCAAACUGAAAAGGCAAAAUCAGACAAGCAAGUUUCCUACUUGAGCCUCCCUGUCCUUUGUUCCUCUCUACAGAGGCAGCCGGGAGGGUCCAUUUCUUUCUAUUUCUUUCCCUCCUUCUAGACCAAGCUGGCCUUGAACACACAAAUAACUGAAG
RNAcentral lists this long non-coding RNA (3702 nucleotides) under Cricetulus griseus (Chinese hamster). RNAcentral describes it as "lncRNA (ENSCGRG00015034546.1)". Lineage: Eukaryota; Metazoa; Chordata; Mammalia; Rodentia; Cricetidae. The record is from RNAcentral.